This is a long non-coding RNA of Oncorhynchus keta (chum salmon), 1608 nucleotides long. RefSeq lists it as uncharacterized. The transcript has 4 exons. The record is from RefSeq and is a predicted model, not a curated record. Lineage: Eukaryota; Metazoa; Chordata; Actinopteri; Salmoniformes; Salmonidae.
UUUACCAUAUGAAAUUUGAAAUGCUCAAAAAUGCAAAAUUGACUGGUCUGAUGGACACAGGAUGGCCGAGCAGUGAUAGUUGUACAUUUCCAUCACUCGUUGUGUUGAUUUCAUCAUGUCCAUUAGGUGAUGUUUUUUCACUAUAGAAUCAUAUUGCAAGUGCGCGCGCAUUUGCAAUAUGUUUCAAUGUGCAUUUACCAUAUGAAAUUUGACAUGCUCAAAAAUGCAAAAUUGACUGGUCUGAUGAACACAGGAUGGCUGAGCAGUGAUAGUUGUACAUUUCCAUCACCUGUUGUGUUGAUUUCAUCAUGUCCAUUUGUUUAUGUUUUCUCACUUUUGCAAAGUCACUGUGCAUUUGCAAUAUGGUUCAAUGGGCAGGUACCAUCACGAAUUUGUCAUGCUAUAAAAAUCCUGCAGGAAUGUGAAAUUGACUGGUCUGAUGAACACAGGAUGGCCGAGCAGUGAUAGUUGUACAUUUCCAUCACUUGUUGUGUUGAUUUCAUCAUGUCCAUUAGGUGAUGUUUUUUCACUAUAGAAUCAUAUUGCAAAUGCACGUGCAUUGUUGUGCAACUGGUAACCCAAAAAUAAAAAUAUGGUUGUAAAUGCAUUUACCGGUCAUUCUGAUAUUAAUGCUCGCUAUGGGAACACAGGAUGGCCGGGCAGUGAUAGUUGUACAUUUCCAUCACUUGUUGUGUUGAUUUCAUCAUGUCCAUUAGGUGAUGUUUUUACACUAUAGAAUCAUAUUGCAAGUGCGCGCGCAUUUGCAAUAUGUUUCAAUGUGCAUUUACCAUAUGAAAUUUGAAAUGCUCAAAAAUGCAAAAUUGACUGGUCUGAUGGACACAGGAUGGCCGAGCAGUGAUAGUUGUACAUUUCCAUCACUCGUUGUGUUGAUUUCAUCAUGUCCAUUAGGUGAUGUUUUUACACUAUAGAAUCAUAUUGCAAGUGCGCGCGCAUUUGCAAUAUGUUUCAAUGUGCAUUUACCAUAUGAAAUUUGAAAUGCUCAAAAAUGCAAAAUUGACUGGUCUGAUGGACACAGGAUGGCCGAGCAGUGAUAGUUGUACAUUUCCAUCACUCGUUGUGUUGAUUUCAUCAUGUCCAUUAGGUGAUGUUUUUUCACUAUAGAAUCAUAUUGCAAAUGCACGUGCAUUGUUGUGCAACUGGUAACCCAAAAAUUAAAAUAUGGUUGUAAAUGCAUUUACCGGUCAUUCUGAUAUUAAUGCUCGCUAUGGGAACACAGGAUGGCCGGGCAGUGAUAGUUGUACAUUUCCAUCACUCGUUGUGUUGAUUUCAUCAUGUCCAUUAGGUGAUGUUUUUACACUAUAGAAUCAUAUUGCAAGUGCGCGCGCAUUUGCAAUAUGUUUCAAUGUGCAUUUACCAUAUGAAAUUUGACAUGCUCAAAAAUGCAAAAUUGACUGGUCUGAUGGACACAGGAUGGCCGAGCAGUGAUAGUUGUACAUUUCCAUCACUCGUUGUGUUGAUUUCAUCAUGUCCAUUAGGUGAUGUUUUUUUCACUAUAGAAUCAUAUUGCAAAUGCACGUGCAUUGUUGUGCAACUGGUAACCCAAAAAUAAAAAUAUGGUUGUAAAUGCAUUUACCGGUCAUUCUGAUA